Molecule: non-coding RNA, 198 nt
Organism: Vicia faba (fava bean)
Lineage: Eukaryota; Viridiplantae; Streptophyta; Magnoliopsida; Fabales; Fabaceae
Source: the annotation of a GenBank genome assembly
UUAAAGUUUCUCGAAUGACCUGCUCCCUCUGCUCAAUUUCCUCCACUUUAGGUCAUCCGUACUCACGGCUUCAAGAAAAUUCACCAUGCUCCAAAGUGUUGAGUGAUGCUGUGGACACACUAGAUCUGCUGGAUCUACCGCAAUCAACUUCUUCGAGAGCAUUAUGGAUUUACAAAGGAGCAGGAGACAAGUAAACAU